UGACAAGCAUGAAUGACUUUGAAGAGUGUG
Molecule: non-coding RNA, 30 nt
Filed under: Mus musculus (house mouse)
Lineage: Eukaryota; Metazoa; Chordata; Mammalia; Rodentia; Muridae
Source: RNAcentral